This 85-nucleotide transfer RNA is filed under the name Nostoc cf. commune SO-36. RNAcentral describes it as "tRNA-Leu". It matches the Rfam family "tRNA". From Rfam's summary of the family: Transfer RNA (tRNA) molecules are approximately 80 nucleotides in length. Their secondary structure includes four short double-helical elements and three loops (D, anti-codon, and T loops). Further hydrogen bonds mediate the characteristic L-shaped molecular structure. tRNAs have two regions of fundamental functional importance: the anti-codon, which is responsible for specific mRNA codon recognition, and the 3' end, to which the tRNAs corresponding amino acid is attached (by aminoacyl-tRNA synthetases). tRNAs cope with the degeneracy of the genetic code in two manners: having more than one tRNA (with a specific anti-codon) for a particular amino acid; and 'wobble' base-pairing, i.e. permitting non-standard base-pairing at the 3rd anti-codon position. Lineage: Bacteria; Bacillati; Cyanobacteriota; Cyanophyceae; Nostocales; Nostocaceae. The record is from RNAcentral.
GGGCGGGUGGCGGAAUUGGUAGACGCACCACACUCAAAAUGUGGCGGCCUUACGGUCAUAGGAGUUCGAUUCUCCUCCUGCCCAC